GCAUACUUGAAGAGAUAUUCUAGUGAAGGCUCCCUUCUUGAGAGACAAUUGACAAACAUUUUUUCAUAAACUUUCAGAUUUUAUGAAGAUACUUUAUUGGUAAUGGAAUGAAGAUCUUGUUUUAGCAAGGAAGAAUACAAAUAAAAUUAUCAUAUGAGAUGCAGUAAGGAAGUGCAGAAUUGUGUUGGGGAAAGCCCUGAAUCAAAAGGAUACUCUAAAGAUGUCACAAAAUUGAGAAGUUGGAAAAGACAUAAAGCAAAAAUAAACUUUGACAGAAUUUUGCAUUUGACAGUGGCAGAAAGCUACCUUUCCUCAUUAUGAAGGUAAGUAUAUGUGCAUAUGUGUUAGAUAAAUAAAUUCUGUAAUAUUUCUCCUAUCAAAUUAUUUAACUGCUCAUUAAUUACCUGUAUGCUUUGAGUUAUGCUUAUUUUUAUAUUGCACAGCCCUGUUCUGGGGCAGUGAGAUAGGUUGUCAAGCCACUUAGGAGAACUCUAGAGAUGGAAUAUGAGAUACAGAGAUAUAAGGUUCUCUGAGAAAUUCUUAUAGAAGAAGUCAUGGUAUGGACAGGCAUUUUACCAGAAGGUCCAGUGAUGGCAGACUGGAUGUGUAUACUUCUGCUCCAUGGAAUGCCUCUAGUAUCUCACCAGAACAUAUCAUCUCCUAUCCCUGAUGGUGUUUUUUUCAGAGGUAGCUAUGUGGACAAGCAUUUCCCACUCUAUGAUGCUUUGAUCUGCACAGCAGGGAGAGGACUUUUUUUUUAGUUUAGAAGCAGUGUCUAGCUUGGUUUUGUCUCAUUGUGUGACUAGCAACCCCAAGGAAAUUGGCAUGCAUGAAGGACAAUAGCUCUCUAUAGAUAACACUAACUUGCCCUAAUUCCCAGUAUACAUGAGACAAAACCAAAGUCCUUCAAAAUAAUGUGUCUGGAUGUUUCAGCUCAGACUAACUUUUACUUGUCCUUACUUGCCCUUCCUUGUCCAGGUAUUUGGAAACAGAAAGGAGCAUUCAGGGACAUGGUAUUUUACUGUUCCCAUUUUCUUUAAGGAUGACAUAUCUCUAAUUUAUUGAAGCGUAAGAAUGAUUCAGUAGCUUUGUUUGGUUAUGUUUCUCUACCAGCAUGGUACAAUUUUUUAAUAGUUAUAUCAAUACCAUGGAAUUAUGUAUGAUAUACACAAAUAUAAAAUGCAUACUAUUGAAUAAUCAUGAAGUUAAACAACAAAAUGAAACGUUUUACCAAUUUGAAACUUUUUGCAUCUCCUCUACAUGUUUACCCAAUUUUAUUGGUUGUUCUCUAUUGAUUCACUGCAACACAAUUGAUAUUAUCUUGCCAGGGUAUUCAUAACAAAGUACCAUACACUGGAUGGAUUAAACACCCAAAAUUUAUUGCUGUAUAAAUUUGAAAAACGUAAGUUCAACAUCAAUAUAUUGGGACGACUGGUUUUCUUCUUAGUCUCUUCUUAUCAUACAGCUAGCUAACUUUUAGCUAUGCCUUUAUAUGGUCUUUUCCUAUGUGUGCAUGCACACUGUCUAUUUACUGUUGAGAGCCACAGCCGAAGGGGCCCCAGCAAACUUUCAGACUGCCAGCUGAUGAUUGGCUCACAGCCCCCAGCAACAUCUAGCUGAUUGGCUCCUCUGCGGUGAUGCUCAUUGGGCUGUUUCCCUGCCCUUUCAGACCACGGAGCUGCUCAUUGGGGGACUUUUUGGCUCCGCCCAUGCGACCCAGCCAAUCGGCCUCAAGAGCAGGAGGAUUGUGGGAGGUGGAGUGGCUUGAGGUGGUGGGAGAGGCUUGUGGGAAGCCAGUGGUGGCAGUUGGGCUCUGAGGGUUUUUCCUGAGGAGCUGUUUUGUUUGGUGUGUGGUUCUAAAAAUAAAGUUCAUUUCUUUUGACAAGUGGCUCCUGAAUCGUGCGCAGCCAGACUGCUGCAAUUUACUAAUCUCUUCUUGUAAGAAUAUUGAUCAUUUGAUUAGAGCCUACCCAUAUGACCCCAUUUUUCCUAAAUUGUCCUUUUAAAAGUCUCAGGUACAAAAAUAGUUAUAUUCCGAGAUUUUGGAGUUUAGACAUGAAUUUUAAAGGGAGAUUAUUUAGCCAUAUCACUACAAUUACAGCUUUUACUCAGCUAAAAUAG
This 2121-nucleotide long non-coding RNA is filed under the name Marmota monax (woodchuck). Lineage: Eukaryota; Metazoa; Chordata; Mammalia; Rodentia; Sciuridae. The record is from RNAcentral.